ACUAUGCGAGAUGAUGACGUGAUCACAUAUCUCCUCACUGGUCUUGACCCUGACUAUGAUCACUUCGUCACCUCGAUGACUACCAAGAGUGAAGUUCUCAUGCUUGAUGAUGUGUUUGCACAUCUAAUGGCGUUUGAACC
Small nucleolar RNA from Cucurbita moschata (crookneck pumpkin), 140 nucleotides. RefSeq annotates it as small nucleolar RNA Z247. NCBI's taxonomy places the organism in Eukaryota, Viridiplantae, Streptophyta, Magnoliopsida, Cucurbitales, Cucurbitaceae. The transcript has a single exon. The record is from RefSeq and is a predicted model, not a curated record.